RNAcentral lists this long non-coding RNA (603 nucleotides) under Gossypium barbadense (sea-island cotton). RNAcentral describes it as "long non-coding RNA (GBAR_LNC004573)". The record is from RNAcentral. Lineage: Eukaryota; Viridiplantae; Streptophyta; Magnoliopsida; Malvales; Malvaceae.
UUGCAACAUAACCAUUUCAUACAUUGCUCACUUGACUAACAUUAAUCAUUUUUCAUGUCAUUUAGCCAAAUCAAAACAUGUCAAUUUCAUAUGCUAUAAAUCAUGCUGAAAUUUCAUAUACACAAGUAAAUCAAUUUAUAUAUAUUCGGUCAUUUAAUAAGACUUCAAUAUAACAGUUAAAACAUAUUCAUUCUUGCCAUCGUAAACCAAACAUAAAUAGUCAAAUAUCAUAGCCGAACAUACAAUAACAUAUAUAUAUAACAAUUUGACCUUUACAUCCCAAAUCACCAAAAUUCAUGACAUAAGUACAUAUGUAUUCAUUUAUCUAUCAUCAACCAAAUAUAACAGCUCAUUACUGCCAUUUCCCAAACUAAUAAAUAAACAAAUUACAGUCAAAAUGUAAUUCAAUAAUAAAUCAUACCCAAAACACAUCCAACAACCAUACUUAAUUCACUUGAGCCGAAUUAUAACAACCACAAAUGCAUAUCAUACCAAUUAACAAUCUUACCAAGAUGAGCUAAUUAUAAACCAUACUUAUCAUUACUUCAUACCAAAUCAUAUAUCUAAGUAAAAUGAUUUUUUUUCAAAAUCAUCAUGAUGAAA